CCUACGGGUGGCUGCAGUGAGGAAUAUUGGUCAAUGGGCGGGAGCCUGAACCCGCCAAGUCGCGUGAAGGAAGAAGGUACUUAGUAUUGUAAACUUCUUUUGUCGGGGCACAAAGGCGGAGACGCGUCUCCGGAUGAGUGUACCCGAAGAAAAAGCAUCGGCUAACUCCGUGCCAGCAGCCGCGGUAAUACGGAGGAUGCGAGCGUUAUCCGGAUUUAUUGGGUUUAAAGGGUGCGUAGGCGGAUCGUUAAGUCAGUGGUCAAAUUGAGGGGCUCAACCCCUUCCCGCCAUUGAAACUGGCGCUCUUGAGGGGAAGAGAAGGAGGCGGAAUGCGUGGUGUAGCGGUGAAAUGCAUAGAUAUCACGCAGAACCCCGAUUGCGAAGGCAGCAUGCCGGCUUCCGACUGACGCUGAAGCACGAAAGCGUGGGGAUCGAACAGGAUUAGAUACCCCUGUAGUC
Molecule: ribosomal RNA, 459 nt
Filed under: uncultured bacterium
Lineage: Bacteria
Description: partial 16S ribosomal RNA
Rfam family: Bacterial small subunit ribosomal RNA
Source: RNAcentral